AUGACCCAACCUUUGCUA
RNAcentral lists this transfer RNA (18 nucleotides) under Aspidoscelis sexlineatus viridis. RNAcentral's name for it is "Aspidoscelis sexlineata viridis partial tRNA-Met". The record is from RNAcentral. Lineage: Eukaryota; Metazoa; Chordata; Lepidosauria; Squamata; Teiidae.